GAUGAACGCUGGCGACGUGCCUAAUACAUGCAAGUCGAGCGAACGGACGAGAAGCUUGCUUCUCUGAUGUUAGCGGCGGACGGGUGAGUAACACGUGGAUAACCUACCUAUAAGACUGGGAUAACUUCGGGAAACCGGAGCUAAUACCGGAUAAUAUUUUGAACCGCAUGGUUCAAAAGUGAAAGACGGUCUUGCUGUCACUUAUAGAUGGAUCCGCGCUGCAUUAGCUAGUUGGUAAGGUAACGGCUUACCAAGGCAACGAUGCAUAGCCGACCUGAGAGGGUGAUCGGCCACACUGGAACUGAGACACGGUCCAGACUCCUACGGGAGGCAGCAGUAGGGAAUCUUCCGCAAUGGGCGAAAGCCUGACGGAGCAACGCCGCGUGAGUGAUGAAGGUCUUCGGAUCGUAAAACUCUGUUAUUAGGGAAGAACAUAUGUGUAAGUAACUGUGCACAUCUUGACGGUACCUAAUCAGAAAGCCACGGCUAACUACGU
RNAcentral lists this ribosomal RNA (496 nucleotides) under uncultured bacterium. Its description in RNAcentral is "partial 16S ribosomal RNA". It matches the Rfam family "Bacterial small subunit ribosomal RNA", at positions 28 to 506 of the family's 1533-position model. The record is from RNAcentral.